CGCUGGCGGCGUGCCUAACACAUGCAAGUCGAACGCGAAAGCCCCGCAAGGGGUAAGUAGAGUGGCAAACGGGUGAGUAACACGUGGGUGACCUGCCUUCGAGUGGGGGAUAACGUCCCGAAAGGGACGCUAAUACCGCAUGAUAUCCCGCCUUGAGAGAGGUGGAGAUCAAAGCUGGGGAUCGCAAGACCUAGCGCUUGAAGAGGGGCCCCCGCCUGAUUAGCUAGUUGGUGGGGUAAUGGCUCACCAAGGCGACGAUCAGUAUCCGGCCUGAGAGGGCGGACGGACACACUGGGACUGAGACACGGCCCAGACUCCUACGGGAGGCAGCAGUGGGGAAUUGUUCGCAAUGGGCGCAAGCCUGACGACGCAACGCCGCGUGGAGGAUGAAGAUCUUCGGGUCGUAAACUCCUGUCGAGCGGGACGAAUGCCUUGCGGGUGAAUAAUCCGCGAGGGUGACGGUACCGCUAAAGGAAGCCCCGGCUAACUCCGUGCCAGCAGCCGCGGUAAUACGGGGGGGGCAAGCGUUGUUCGGAAUUACUGGGCGUAAAGGGCUCGUAGGUGGCCAACUAAGUCAGACGUGAAAUCC
RNAcentral lists this ribosomal RNA (589 nucleotides) under uncultured Acidobacteriota bacterium. RNAcentral's name for it is "bacterial SSU rRNA". It matches the Rfam family "Bacterial small subunit ribosomal RNA", at positions 34 to 602 of the family's 1533-position model. Lineage: Bacteria; Pseudomonadati; Acidobacteriota. The record is from RNAcentral.